GCGGGGUAGCUCAGUUGGUUAGAGCGGUGGAAUCAUAAUCCAUGUGUCGAGAGUUCGAAUCUCCCCCUCGC
Molecule: transfer RNA, 71 nt
Filed under: human gut metagenome
Also listed under: 1 other name
Rfam family: tRNA
About the family: Transfer RNA (tRNA) molecules are approximately 80 nucleotides in length. Their secondary structure includes four short double-helical elements and three loops (D, anti-codon, and T loops). Further hydrogen bonds mediate the characteristic L-shaped molecular structure. tRNAs have two regions of fundamental functional importance: the anti-codon, which is responsible for specific mRNA codon recognition, and the 3' end, to which the tRNAs corresponding amino acid is attached (by aminoacyl-tRNA synthetases). tRNAs cope with the degeneracy of the genetic code in two manners: having more than one tRNA (with a specific anti-codon) for a particular amino acid; and 'wobble' base-pairing, i.e. permitting non-standard base-pairing at the 3rd anti-codon position.
Source: RNAcentral